GUUCUAGAAGCAAAUACGUAUACAAAAAUUGGAACCAUACAGAGAUUAGCGUGACCCCUGCACAAGGGUGACAGGCAAUUCAUGAAGUGUCACAUAGCUUA
This is a small nuclear RNA of Cavia aperea (Brazilian guinea pig), 101 nucleotides long. Lineage: Eukaryota; Metazoa; Chordata; Mammalia; Rodentia; Caviidae. The record is from Ensembl.